Molecule: transfer RNA, 41 nt
Filed under: Diadema antillarum
Lineage: Eukaryota; Metazoa; Echinodermata; Echinoidea; Diadematoida; Diadematidae
Also listed under: 2 other names
Description: partial tRNA-Lys
Source: RNAcentral
UCUUAAUUUAAAAGACAGUAGUUAAACUCUACUAUUAAGGG